This 29-nucleotide non-coding RNA is filed under the name Mus musculus (house mouse). The record is from RNAcentral. Lineage: Eukaryota; Metazoa; Chordata; Mammalia; Rodentia; Muridae.
UUAUUAUGUGUGUACCCAUGUGGAUGUGU